Long non-coding RNA from Daphnia pulex (common water flea), 707 nucleotides. RefSeq lists it as uncharacterized. NCBI's taxonomy places the organism in Eukaryota, Metazoa, Arthropoda, Branchiopoda, Diplostraca, Daphniidae. The transcript is spliced from 2 exons. The record is from RefSeq and is a predicted model, not a curated record.
AACAGAAACUGACCGUUAUCACCCAAAAGUUUGUUUGUAAUAGCAGCGAGAAGCAAAGUAAGCGUAACUAAACUGAGUGGAAAAUGAUAUCAAAUAAGCUAUGCUAUGCUGUCCAGCGUCAGAAAGAAGAAACGUUUGACAGUACCAUGAAAACAAUGUCCGAACCAAUCUCGCUUGUUGAGUCGUUGAUACCCAAUUAUUAAAAGAACUAACAAAUAAGGGCAAAUAACCGUGAUACUCACGUAAUAUUCAUCCCUGCAAAUUUGUGUCUCGUCUUCGCAGCAUUACACAUCACAACAGACGAAAUCCCCAAUCUACAAUGAGUAGUGCUUCUAAAUGCUUCUAAAUCUGUUUCGAUGGCCAUUGAUGUUUGGCUGAUACUGGAGAUGCUAGCUGCCUAAUGAGGAGAUGGUGAAAGGUGUGUUUAAAGCUGUUGCUGCUGCUGUCCUUGGUGUCACAAUUCAGUGUGUUGUUCGUUAGUUUGUCUGUCCUGUCAAAUCUUUUCCAUCACUGUCGUCACUCAAAUCUCAUCCAUGCAGUAUACAAUAGAGACAAUGUGAUCUUUCUUGAUCUAGGAGUGAUUCAAUCGACUACUGCUAGAUUGAAAAACUUUCUAUGCCCAACAAAUAACAACGCUGUGUUAUUAUCGCGGUUGAGAAAGCAUCAGGCCCCCUGCCAUCCAAUAAAAUUAUGGGUCUUUUGUUUAA